This 77-nucleotide transfer RNA is filed under the name Candidatus Bathyarchaeota archaeon. RNAcentral's name for it is "tRNA-Met". It matches the Rfam family "tRNA", at positions 1 to 61 of the family's 71-position model. From Rfam's summary of the family: Transfer RNA (tRNA) molecules are approximately 80 nucleotides in length. Their secondary structure includes four short double-helical elements and three loops (D, anti-codon, and T loops). The record is from RNAcentral. Lineage: Archaea; Thermoproteati; Candidatus Bathyarchaeota.
GGGCCCGUAGCUCAGCCAGGUAGAGCGACAGGCUCAUAACCUGUUGGUCCAGGGUUCGAAAGCAUGGAGCUCCUCCA